CAACGUUUUAGUGCAUUGGCUGGGAACUCCAAGGUCUCCAGGUUACCACCUGGAGGGUCUCAAUAUCCAUGAAGUCUUUCUGAGUCUGUGCGUCUGUCCAUAAACAUCUGAUCCUACUCCGGAAGAACUCAUCUCUUGGGACGAUCGCAGACAGAGGCUUUUUGCCAUGUUUUCAAGAACUCGGUUGAACUUUGGGGAGCACACGAGCCACCACAUCCUCUAUGGGCAACACAUUUGGAAUCCAUUUUGAGGCACAUCAGAGAAUUUCUCCUGGCAUCCUGGCUGGUCCUAGUCACUCCCACUGGAUUAUGUGGAUUCAGCAGAGGCUUGGCUGUUUCUGCUGGAUCAUAACACUGCUGCUGAUUCCUGUUUGGUAUCCUGACACUACUGAACUGGACUGCUGGUGUCCUGGCAACGGAGAUUGGAAUCACCUCAAAGAAUUACUUCUAAACAGGUCCACACCCCCAUGUCCUAUUCACCAUCUUUUUCCCCUACCUUUGAAAGGUGGGCUAGAAGUGGGGUCAAAGCAUUUGGGAAACCUUAUUAAAGCAUGCUUUGAAAAAUCAAA
Rattus norvegicus (Norway rat) is the source of this 568-nucleotide non-coding RNA. Lineage: Eukaryota; Metazoa; Chordata; Mammalia; Rodentia; Muridae. The record is from RefSeq and is a predicted model, not a curated record.